This 462-nucleotide ribosomal RNA is filed under the name Triticum aestivum (bread wheat). RNAcentral describes it as "partial small subunit ribosomal RNA". Lineage: Eukaryota; Viridiplantae; Streptophyta; Magnoliopsida; Poales; Poaceae. The record is from RNAcentral.
AUGCUGGGCCCCCUGCGAGUCAAAAUCUUCACUUGGCUCGCCGACCUCGACCGUUGCUGGACUGCAGCUAGACUUGCUCGGCAUGGCCUGCCGCACAACGACCGCUGUGUCCUUUGCGAUCAGGCCGAGGAGACCAUGCAACACAUCAUCAUUGGCUGUCCUUUCUCUUGGCAAAUCUGGCAUGAUGUGCUCGCCUGGGUGCGUGCCACUACCCACCCUCCGUCUGGAGACGAAGACUUCCUCACCUGGUGCACGACGGCCAUCGCUGGAUCCCCCUCUGGCCUUCGCAAGGGCCUUGCCACGCUAGCCACGCUUACCGACUGGUGCAUAUGGAAGCACCGCAACUGCUGCGUGUUCGACGGCGAUACCCCCUCCAUCUCGACGCUAUUGGCGUCUAUUCAAGACGAGGCCCGGACCUGGGCUCGAGCCGGUGCGCGCGGACUCAACCUUUUGCUGGCAUAG